UUCGUAGGCGGUGCGGCAAGUCGGAAGUGAAAUCUCCGGGCUUAACUCGGAGGCUGCUCCCGAAACUGCCGUGCUGGAGUGCGGGAGAGGCGAGUGGAAUUGCAGGUGUAGCGGUGAAAUGCGUAGAUAUCUGCAGGAACACCCGUGGCGAAGGCGGCUCGCUGGACCGCAACUGACGCUGAGGAACGAAAGCUAGGGGAGCAAACAGGAUUAGAUACCCUGGUAGUCCUAGCCCUAAACGAUCAGGACUUGGGGUGGCCCGCGUUGGCGGGUCGUCCCGUAGCUAACGCGUUAAGUCCUGCGCCUGGGGAGUACGGCCGCAAGGCUGAA
RNAcentral lists this ribosomal RNA (330 nucleotides) under uncultured bacterium. RNAcentral describes it as "bacterial SSU rRNA". It matches the Rfam family "Bacterial small subunit ribosomal RNA", at positions 568 to 898 of the family's 1533-position model. The record is from RNAcentral.